GGGGGCGACCUGGUCUCGACGUGGGUCGCGAAGCAGUUCAGGGCAUGCCGAGGACCAGAGCCCUCGUAAAUCCAUCUGGAAACACUACAAACGCAAACGACGAGCGUUUCGCUCUCGCCGCCUAACACCGGCGAGACGCUGCACUAGCCUGCUGAUGGGUUAGGCCUCCGCAAGGAGGUGCAGCGUCAUUCACAUCAGCCUCUCUGCGCGGGGUGGUCGCUUCUCCGCGUGGAUCCGUCGAAGCGACUGGCCAAACGCCUGCCUGCCGGUCGGCGGGCGCGAGGCGAGAUCUGAUGAUACGGCUAAGCAUGUAGUCCUGGGUUGUGGAGGGCUUGCGGACGCGGGUUCGAUUCCCGCCGCCUCCACCA
RNAcentral lists this transfer-messenger RNA (368 nucleotides) under Betaproteobacteria bacterium. It matches the Rfam family "transfer-messenger RNA". Rfam says of the family: Bacterial tmRNA, also known as 10Sa RNA or SsrA, is named for its dual tRNA and mRNA-like properties. Its role is to liberate the mRNA from a stalled ribosome. Lineage: Bacteria; Pseudomonadati; Pseudomonadota; Betaproteobacteria. The record is from RNAcentral.